CUACGGGUUGCAGCAGUGGGGAAUAUUGCACAAUGGGCGCAAGCCUGAUGCAGCCAUGCCGCGUGUAUGAAGAAGGCCUUCGGGUUGUAAAGUACUUUCAGCGGGGAGGAAGGGGGUAAAGUUAAUACCUUUGCUCAUUGACGUUACCCGCAGAAGAAGCACCGGCUAACUCCGUGUCAGCAGCCGCGGUAAUACGGAGGGUGCAAGCGUUAAUCGGAAUUACUGGGCGUAAAGCGCACGCAGGCGGUUUGUUAAGUUAGAUGUGAAAUCCCCGGGCUCAACCUGGGAACUGCAUCUGAUACUGGCAAGCUUGAGUCUCGUAGAGGGGGGUAGAAUUCCAGGUGUAGCGGUGAAAUGCGUAGAGAUCUGGAGGAAUACCGGUGGCGAAGGCGGCCCCCUGGACGAAGACUGACGCUCAGGUGCGAAAGCGUGGGGAGCAAACAGGAUUAGAUACCCGCGUAGUC
RNAcentral lists this ribosomal RNA (464 nucleotides) under uncultured bacterium. RNAcentral's name for it is "partial 16S ribosomal RNA". It matches the Rfam family "Bacterial small subunit ribosomal RNA", at positions 339 to 795 of the family's 1533-position model. The record is from RNAcentral.